RNAcentral lists this ribosomal RNA (251 nucleotides) under uncultured prokaryote. RNAcentral's name for it is "partial 16S rRNA". It matches the Rfam family "Bacterial small subunit ribosomal RNA", at positions 525 to 775 of the family's 1533-position model. The record is from RNAcentral.
ACGUAGGGGGCGAGCGUUAUUCGGAAUUACUGGGUGUAAAGGGUAUGUAGGCGGCCCUUCAAGUCGCGUGUCAAAGUCCAGUGCUCAACGCUGGGUGUGCACGCGAUACUGACGGGCUUGAGGGCUGGAGAGGUGAGCGGAACUCCCGGUGUAGUGGUGAAAUCCGUUGAGCCCGGGAGGAACACCUGUGGCGCAGGCGUCUCACCAGACAGUCUCUGACGCUAAGAUACGAAAGCGUGGGGAGCAAACAG